UGGCUCAGAUGAUAAAGCACCUGCCUACAAUGCAGGAGACCCGGGGUUCAAUCCCUG
Molecule: transfer RNA, 57 nt
Filed under: Bos taurus (domestic cattle)
Lineage: Eukaryota; Metazoa; Chordata; Mammalia; Artiodactyla; Bovidae
Also listed under: 1 other name
Rfam family: tRNA
About the family: Transfer RNA (tRNA) molecules are approximately 80 nucleotides in length. Their secondary structure includes four short double-helical elements and three loops (D, anti-codon, and T loops).
Source: Rfam by way of RNAcentral